This 474-nucleotide ribosomal RNA is filed under the name uncultured bacterium. Its description in RNAcentral is "bacterial SSU rRNA". It matches the Rfam family "Bacterial small subunit ribosomal RNA", at positions 73 to 518 of the family's 1533-position model. The record is from RNAcentral.
GGUUCCGUCGGGACUGAGUAGAGCGGCGCGACGGUGAGUAACGCGGUGGGUCGACCUACCCGAGGACGGACCGGGAUAACAGGUAGGGAAACUGCUGACUAACGUACCGGUACGCUUCAUAUUUCACGUAUGGGGGAAAGGCGGCCUCUGCUUGCAAGCUGCCACUCUUGGAUGGGCCCGCGUCUCAUUAGCUUGUUGGUAGGGUAACGGCCUACCAAGGCGACGAUGAGUAGCUGGUCUGAGAGGAUGAUCAGCCACACUGGGACUGGAACACGGCCCAGACUCCUACGGGAGGCAGCAGUGGGGAAUAUUGCGCAAUGGGCGAAAGCCUGACGCAGCGACGCCGCGUGAGGGAAAGAAGGCCUUCGGGUCGUAAACCUCUGUCAGGAGGGAAGAAACCAUGGGAGUCGAAUAGGCUCUCGUGCUGACGGUACCUCCGGAGGAAGCACCGGCUAACUCCGUGCCAGCCGCAGC